AGAGUUUGAUCCUGGCUCAGGAUGAACGCUAGCUACAGGCUUAACACAUGCAAGUCGAGGGGAAACGAUAUUGGAAGCUUGCUUCCGAUAGGCGUCGACCGGCGCACGGGUGAGUAACGCGUAUCCAACCUGGCCCACCACUUGGGGAUAACCUUGCGAAAGUAAGACUAAUACCCAAUGAUAUCUCUAGGAAGACAUCUGAAAGAGAUUAAAAGAUUUAUCGGUGAUGGAUGGGGAUGCGUCUGAUUAGCUUGUUGGCGGGGUAACGGCCCACCAAGGCGACGAUCAGUAGGGGUUCUGAGAGGAAGGUCCCCCACAUUGGAACUGAGACACGGUCCAAACUCCUACGGGAGGCAGCA
Molecule: ribosomal RNA, 359 nt
Filed under: uncultured bacterium
Lineage: Bacteria
Description: bacterial SSU rRNA
Rfam family: Bacterial small subunit ribosomal RNA
Source: RNAcentral